GACGAACGCUGGCGGCGUGCUUAACACAUGCAAGUCGAACGGAAAGGCCCUGCUUUUGUGGGGUGCUCGAGUGGCGAACGGGUGAGUAACACGUGAGUAACCUGCCCUUGACUUUGGGAUAACUUCAGGAAACUGGGGCUAAUACCGGAUAGGUGCUCCUGCUGCAUGGUGGGGGUUGGAAAGUUUCGGCGGUUGGGGAUGGACUCGCGGCUUAUCAGCUUGUUGGUGGGGUAGUGGCUUACCAAGGCUUUGACGGGUAGCCGGCCUGAGAGGGUGACCGGCCACAUGGGGACUGAGAUACGGCCCAGACUCCUACGGGAGGCAGCAGUGGGAAAUAUUGCACAAUGGGCGGAAGCCUGAUGCAGCAGCGCCGCGAGCGUGAUGACGGCCUUCUGGUGGUAAACCGCUUUCGCCUGUGACGAAGCGUUAGUGACGGUAAUGGGUAAAGAAGCACCGGCUAACUACGUG
This 468-nucleotide ribosomal RNA is filed under the name uncultured bacterium. RNAcentral describes it as "partial 16S ribosomal RNA". It matches the Rfam family "Bacterial small subunit ribosomal RNA", at positions 28 to 507 of the family's 1533-position model. The record is from RNAcentral.